GAUGAACGCUGGCGGCGUGCCUAACACAUGCAAGUCGAGCGAACGGACGAGAAGCUUGCUUCUCUGAUUUUAGCGGCGGACGGGUGAGUAACACGUGGAUAACCUACCUAUAAGACUGGGAUAACUUCGGGAAACCGUAGCUAAUACCGGAUAAUAUUUUGAACCUCAUGGUUCAAAAGUGAAAGACGGUCUUGCUGUCACUUAUGGAUGGAUCCGCGCUGCAUUAGCUAGUUGGUAAGGUAACGGCUUACCAAGGCAACGAUGCAUAGCCGACCUGAGAGGGUGAUCGGCCACACUGGAACUGAGAAACGGUCCAGACUCCUACGGGAGGCAGCAGUAGGGAAUAUUCCGCAAUGGGCGAAAGCCUGACGAAGCAACGCCGCGUGAGUGAUGAAGGUCUUCGGAUCGUAAAACUCUGUUAUUAGGGAAGAACAUAUGUGUAAGUAACUGUGCACAUCUUGACGGUACCUAAUCAGAAAGCCACGGCUAACUACGUG
This 497-nucleotide ribosomal RNA is filed under the name uncultured bacterium. RNAcentral's name for it is "partial 16S ribosomal RNA". It matches the Rfam family "Bacterial small subunit ribosomal RNA", at positions 28 to 507 of the family's 1533-position model. The record is from RNAcentral.